UGGUUUACUCGUGUCGUCAUUCGUCGUGGGCACCUUGUCCCCGGGGCCGGCCAGUUACUUGGCCUCCUGGCUCAUCAUCCUGCCGGAAGCAUCUCCAGCUUGGGGAUGUUGGAGGGUCCCUGGCCCCACCUGGCUGGGGAUGGAGUGUAAGCCGAGGAGAUGCCAUGUGAGGGUGCAGCGAGGAGUUGGGCUGUCUAAAAGCAAAGAAAGAGAUUGCAUCAGACACCGCAUCUGCUGACACCUUGUUCUUGGACUUCCAGCUUCCAAAACCGCGAGAAAUAAAUGUCUGUGUCUAAACCCCAACCCUACCACCUCAACUGCCGUGUGUGGUGUUUUGUGAUGGCAGCCCCAGCUGACUGAGACACCUGGUUAGACCGGAAUAAGCAGGCUGCAAUCGGUAGCAGUCACCAUUGAACAUCCUUGAAGCAAUUCUUCCAAAAUUACCUUGCAUCAAAGACUGCACAAGAACUGCUCUAAGCGGAAGGACUGAUGUCGGCAACCAGGGUUCCACCAGGGGCUGCAGACAGCCCUUGACCUUCAGGUGGGAAGGUGUCACUGAGUUCAGACCCUCUGGCAAUCCCUAGCUAUCAACAUUUUGAUAAGAAAAUAAGUGGAAAGGUAGAACUGGAAGAUUUUGCUGAAAGAUUGGACAUGGCAUUCAGAGAAACAGAGGUUUUAAUGACAAACUCCAAGUUUUUGGCUGGAGCAACUGGAAGAAUGAGGUUGCCAUGAACCGAAAAGAGAGAUUGCAGAAGUAACCAAAUUUACUCACGUAGGCCAGGAAUUUCUAUGACGUGUUCCAAAUUCAGCCUCUCACUGAACACUUCCAGAGCAAGGCAACAUAAACAUCUGCAAGAAGAACAUUGUGUGAGAAAUAUCAAGUGAGAGUGGAAGAGUCUGCGGAGGGCCUCCCUGGGGCUCACCUGUGCUUUUGCCUGAGCUUCACCGUGUCAAGCACUUUUUCCCUCUGGAGGAAGCAGCUUUCACCUUGGAAGAAUCUUGACCUUGCCAUUCAAAGUCACCAGACAGGGAAUCUGCCAGUGCCUUGAUCUUAGACUUCCCAGCUUCUGUAACUGUGAGCAAUAAAUGUAUGCUGCUUAUAAACUA
Molecule: long non-coding RNA, 1107 nt
Organism: Homo sapiens (human)
Lineage: Eukaryota; Metazoa; Chordata; Mammalia; Primates; Hominidae
Exons: 7
Source: RefSeq, marked validated